CAGGGCCUCCACUCUACCUUGAACAUAGCUGGUCUUCUCUGAUUUCAAAAGCUAAGUGGGGUCAAGCCCAGUUAGUAUUUGGAGGUGAAACUACCCAGGAUUACUAGGGAUGUCUAGGUAGGGCUAUGA
RNAcentral lists this ribosomal RNA (129 nucleotides) under Pogona vitticeps (central bearded dragon). Lineage: Eukaryota; Metazoa; Chordata; Lepidosauria; Squamata; Agamidae. The record is from RNAcentral.